AGGUUGAGUCAGAGGCCGCAAGGCACGCUAC
RNAcentral lists this non-coding RNA (31 nucleotides) under Homo sapiens (human). Lineage: Eukaryota; Metazoa; Chordata; Mammalia; Primates; Hominidae. The record is from RNAcentral.